GAUGAACGCUAGCGGCAGGCCUAAUACAUGCAAGUCGAGGGGUAUGGGUUGCUUGCAACCCAGAGACCGGCGCACGGGUGCGUAACGCGUAUGCAAUCUACCUUAAUCAGGGGGAUAGCCCGGAGAAAUCCGGAUUAACACCGCAUAACAUUGAGUUGUGGCAUCACAGUUCAAUCAAAUAUUUAUAGGAUUAAGAUGAGCAUGCGUGACAUUAGUUAGUUGGUGAGGUAACGGCUCACCAAGACCACGAUGUCUAGGGGAUCUGAGAGGAUGACCCCCCACACUGGUACUGAGACACGGACCAGACUCCUACGGGAGGCAGCAGUAAGGAAUAUUGGUCAAUGGGCGCAAGCCUGAACCAGCCAUGCCGCGUGCAGGAAGACGGCCCUAUGGGUUGUAAACUGCUUUUGUACCGGAAUAAACCUUCUCUUGCGAGAGAAGCUGAACGUACGGUAAGAAUAAGGAUCGGCUAACUCCGU
This 479-nucleotide ribosomal RNA is filed under the name uncultured bacterium. RNAcentral describes it as "partial 16S ribosomal RNA". It matches the Rfam family "Bacterial small subunit ribosomal RNA", at positions 28 to 506 of the family's 1533-position model. The record is from RNAcentral.